UCGGUAAAACUCGUGCCAGCCACCGCGGUUAUACGAAAGACCCUAGUUGAUAGCCACGGCGUAAAGGGUGGUUAAGGAACCUAAAAAAUAAAGCUAAAGACCCUCUAGGCCGUCAUACGCAUUACGAGGCAAACGAAACCCCAACACGAAAGUAGCUUAGACAAAUAUCCUGAUGCCACGAAAGCCAAGAAACAAACUGGGAUUAAAUACCCCACUAUG
Molecule: ribosomal RNA, 219 nt
Filed under: Auchenipterus osteomystax
Lineage: Eukaryota; Metazoa; Chordata; Actinopteri; Siluriformes; Auchenipteridae
Description: partial small subunit ribosomal RNA
Source: RNAcentral